This 368-nucleotide ribosomal RNA is filed under the name uncultured organism. RNAcentral's name for it is "bacterial SSU rRNA". It matches the Rfam family "Bacterial small subunit ribosomal RNA", at positions 526 to 896 of the family's 1533-position model. The record is from RNAcentral.
CGUAGGGUGCGAGCGUUAAUCGGAAUUACUGGGCGUAAAGGGUGCGUAGGUGGGUCUGUAAGUCAGUGGUGAAAUCUCCGAGCUUAACUCGGAAACUGCCAUUGAUACUAUAGAUCUUGAAUUAUCUGGAGGUAAGCGGAAUAUGUCAUGUAGCGGUGAAAUGCUUAGAUAUGACAUAGAACACCAAUUGCGAAGGCAGCUUACUACGGAUUUAUUGACACUGAGGCACGAAAGCGUGGGGAUCAAACAGGAUUAGAUACCCUGGUAGUCCACGCCCUAAACGAUGGAUACUCGACAUCAGCGAUACACUGUUGGUGUCUGAGCGAAAGCAUUAAGUAUCCCACCUGGGAAGUACGAUCGCAAGAUUG